This 407-nucleotide ribosomal RNA is filed under the name uncultured bacterium. Its description in RNAcentral is "partial 16S ribosomal RNA". It matches the Rfam family "Bacterial small subunit ribosomal RNA", at positions 30 to 526 of the family's 1533-position model. The record is from RNAcentral.
AUUGAACGCUGGCGGCAGGCCUAACACAUGCAAGUCGAGCGGAGCGUCGGACGGGUGUGUAAUGUAUGGGGAUCUGCCCGAUAGAGGGGGAUAACUACUCGAAAGAGUGGCUAAUACCGCAUACUAUUUGAGCGGCCGAUAUCGGAUGAGCUCGUUGGGGGGGUAAAGGCUCACCAAGGCAACGAUCCGGAGCGGGUUUGAGAGGACGACCAGCCACACUGGGACUGAGACACGGCCCAGACUCCUACGGGAGGCAGCAGUGGGGAAUUUUGGACAAUGGGGGAAACCCUGAUCCAGCCAUCCCGCGUGUAUGAUGAAGGCCUUCGGGUUGUAAAGUACUUUUGGCAGAGAAGCGGUAUCUGCAGAAGAAGCACCGGCUAACUACGUGCCAGCAGCCGCGGUAAUAC